RNAcentral lists this small RNA (28 nucleotides) under Bombyx mori (domestic silkworm). RNAcentral describes it as "piRNA piR-bmo-1321283". Lineage: Eukaryota; Metazoa; Arthropoda; Insecta; Lepidoptera; Bombycidae. The record is from RNAcentral.
AUCACAGCUACAUUCGAUUAUGGACACC